CCUACGGGAGGCAGCAGUGAGGAAUAUUGGUCAAUGGACGAGAGUCUGAACCAGCCAAGUCGCGUGAAGGAUGAAGGAUCUAUGGUUUGUAAACUUCUUUUAUACGAGAAUAAAGUGAGGAACGUGUUCCUUUCUGUAUGUACCAUAUGAAUAAGCAUCGGCUAACUCCGUGCCAGCAGCCGCGGUAAUACGGAGGAUGCGAGCGUUAUCCGGAUUUAUUGGGUUUAAAGGGUGCGUAGGUGGUUAAUUAAGUCAGCGGUGAAAGUUUGUGGCUCAACCAUGAAAUUGCCGUUGAAACUGGUUGACUUGAGUAUAGUUGAGGUAGGCGGAAUGUAUGGUGUAGCGGUGAAAUGCAUAGAGAUCACACAGAACUCCGAUUGCGAAGGCAGCUUACUAAGCUAUAACUGACACUGAGGCACGAAAGCGUGGGGAGCAAACAGGAUUAGAUACCCGGGUAGUC
RNAcentral lists this ribosomal RNA (460 nucleotides) under uncultured bacterium. Its description in RNAcentral is "partial 16S ribosomal RNA". It matches the Rfam family "Bacterial small subunit ribosomal RNA", at positions 338 to 795 of the family's 1533-position model. The record is from RNAcentral.